CAACUCCUCUCUCUCCCUCACCGUCUCUCUCUUUCUCUCUAUCUUCUUCUCUUCAUUCUUUCUCUCUUGCUCACUUAUUCUCUAUCUUCGCCAUUCUCUCUAUCGGAGUCUUGGCUGGAAUCAAAUAAAUUGAUCGGAAAUAUUGAGUUUCUAAGUGAGGGUUUGAUGUAAUCAAGUUUGGGUUGAAGAAUUGAGCGGUGAAAGAAGAAAGCCCAAAUUGAUUCUUCAAAAGUGCUGCAACGUUUUAUGAACAGAGUUUCGAGAAUCCGGUGGCACUGGUAUAAACCAUAAGAGAUCAGCUUCACAUCGGUGGUGGUGGUCGGAAUAGGUCGAAGAAGACAAGUUCAUUUACAAUUCGAAAUUCAGCGGUUAGGCCUUCAAAGAAAUAAUUGUUUAGGGGCCUUUGAGAUUGAACCUCGUUGAUCAGGAUCCAUCGUUAGAAAGCUAAUGAGUUUGGCUCUCUAUUGGUCGUGGUUCUUGAUGGUUUGCACGGGCGGCGGUCCCCGGAGUUUGCUGAGAAGUCAGCCUGCUCGCUGCGAUUUUGGGGAAGCAAAACCUGCUGCCGCACCUGUUUUCGGAGCCGAAAUCGAAGGGUUUCGAAUGCGAAUUUCGAAUCAGUUCCUUCAGGAAACUCGUAGAGGACAUCGUAAACUAUAAGUAAGUGUUCAAUUGUAUCGAAUUAGAAUAUUUAAUAUACGUGUUUAGAGGUCGGAAUCCGAUGACAGUAAUCUGCCGGAAACAGGGCAGUUUUGAGUAUCUUCUUGCGGGACUGUUUUCGAUAUGUUGGGAUCAUAAUUUGGGCUCUGUGCCUUCAUGAAACUUGUAGAUUAAGUUGUAAGGUUUCAUUUGAUGUAUUAUUUAGGCAAUUUGGAUAACUUUACAAAUAGUUAUGAAUUUUACAAAACUGUACCAGAAAACAGAAUUUAUCCGAAAUUCUUGCAGUUUUCUGUAGUCAUCUUUUGGGGCUGUUUUGAAUAUGUUGGGAUCAUAAUUUGUGAUCAAAGCCUUCUGUGAACUCGUAGGAUUUUCUGUUAUCUUUCAUUUGACGUAUCAUGUGAUCAAUUUGGAUUAGCAUGCUAAUUGUUAUGAUUUUUCAAACAAACUGUGCCAACAACAAAUUUUCAAAAAAAAAAACCUGGCAGUUUCAUGUACUCAUCUUCCGAGGCUGUUAUUACUGUGUUAGGUCGAUAAUUUGGGCUCAGAGUCUUCAGUAAACCUGUAGACACUGAUGUUAGCUUUAGUUCGAUAUAUCGUUUAGGUUAUUCGAAUAAGUAAGGUGAUCGUAACGAUUGUUCGAAUAAGCUGUGGCAGCAAGACAUUCGUAACAAAUGUUUCAAGAACUUGACUAUGUGAUAUAGUAGAAUAAUACGAUUAUAUUAGCAUUUGGAAUCUUGUUAAGUGAUGAAUAUGUUUAUAGGUGUCGAGCGUACUAAAGCUCUCACUCAAGGUUUAAGCUUAAAGAUGCACCUAUAGAACUAGCAUUGGACUCCAGGUGAGAAACUAUGACUCCUUAUCCAAUUUCUUUCCUGCGCAUAAUAUCUCCUUUGUUUGAACCGAAUAUUUUUUACAUAUUGAAGCCUUCGAUACCUUCAUUAUAUUUGUUCUUGAAAUAUGAUCCUUAAUGUUAUGCGAGCAUAUUCGUUUCCUUGGCUCGAACUUGGAACCUUGAUCUUGUUCUUUAAAUCUUGAACUUGUCAAUUCUCUUGGUUGCUAUGUUCACGGCUAAUUCCUAUACUUGAUUCCUUGGCCUGAACAUUUUCCUUGAAUCGAUAUUGAACUAUAUUUAUUCUCAAAAUCUUGUCUUGAAUGCUUUCUGAGAAUAAAUAUUUUGUUGGCUCGAACUUGAAUCUCAUGUUUAUUGAAUUCAUUGAGAUCUUGAUAUACUCGUUCUUGGAACCUGACAUGGAAUUUAUUGUUCUUCUUGAAUUCCAUAUUCACGACAAUUCUUCAUUGGCUUGAAUUGAAAUCUGAACUGAACAUGUUCAUUUUCGUGAGGCUUGAUAUUCAAUUAUCAUGAUCGUGACUUAUCUUGUGAAUGAUUGACUUGAUUCUUGAAUUGAUUCUUGAAAUGAAUGACUUGAUAUUCCUAAAAGGAAUGAUAUUGAUUCUUGAACCUACUGUCCCCACCCUUGAGGACGCUCUUGGGGGAGCUGGGCCCUAGGACCAUUUCGGCAAGACGAUCGGGCAGUAUUGGGCUGACGAUGACUGGUCUCCCGAAUGGUACCUCCUGAUGGUUCGGACUCACGUUCGUUUGGAGUUAAACGUUCCUGAGCCGGAUCGGCACGUUCCAGUCGUGCCUCUUGCCUGUUUCCGACCGAGUGGCCACUCGGGACGGAUUGGAGGGAUAAGGAUGUGAUAUGAUUUUAUUUGUUGGGAGUUACAAGGUUGGAGACCCCACCAAAUAUUGAACUCAAGCCGUACAUGUUACACUCUUGUACAUGUUACACUUCUGUUAAUGAAAUUCUUGUUAAUGAAAUUCUUUUAAAGUCUCUCGUUAUAUGUUCUGUUAUGUUGAUUCUCAUCAUACUCAUGGAUCAUAUGUUUUUCACUAAGUCAUUCGGACUUAUUCGUUUCUCCUUUCUGAUAUUAAUUAAUAUGCGCAGGUAAAAGAAAGACUUAGACCUAAAUUUUCAUACUAAGAGUUAAAGCUCUUGUAUGCCUCCGAUUAGUCUCGUCGAGAGGCAUCUCGAUUUAUGUUCCGUAUGGAAAUCCUUUGAUCGAGAAUUUUGUAAUCGAGUAAGUGGUGUCGAAGUCGACUUGUAAUAGAACCUCCUUUUGUAAACACGAUAGUAUAGAUUGCGGGUUUAAUGUUUUGAUCAUCGCAAUUUUGAGGAGCAUAUUUAGGAUCAUUGAAUGUACUGCAUGUUGAGUGGUGUUCCGCCGCGAGGUGCCUGCUACUCGGGGCGGGGCGCUACAAUAGAAUUGACAUUAGAUUCAGAUUUGUAGAUCUUUAUCGAUAGUACACUGGUGGAUUUUACCAUAGAAGCCAGCACACGUCGGAAUUCCUCGCUUGUACUGGCGGACCGUUGUUUUUAUUUCUGUUUCUUUUCUUUUUAGCUUCAUCCCCCAUUCUUUCGUAUGUCUAGAUUAAGUUUAGGAUAGUAUAAUUACGGUACUUGGUAAAUUUAGGAACUUAAUUCCCUGUGGAUCGAUAUCUGGAAUUCACUAUUCUACAAAACGCGAUACUGUACACUUGCGGUUUGUCAUACGUAGGUUUUACGCGUAUCAAGUUUCUUGAUAGGUUUUUCUUCUUGUUCUCAAGACUCCAUUAAUCUGUAUUUAUGGGGUCUUGGGAUUUAAUCCUACUGGGCUUAAGUUGGACUGGGCCAAAUAUCUUAAGUCCAAUAGGUUUCCUUUGCUCGUCUCACAAAUCGAUGACCAGAAAGAUAUAACAAUUAUAUUUUCGUUGUCACCAUAACGUUCUCGUCAAUACAAGGGCCAAUUGUAAAUAUCUAAUUUAAAAAAUUGGAAACCCUAAUUCAGUGGACUUGCUAAAUCAGGAAACUUUCAAAAUUAGAAAGUUCAUUAAAUUUUCGCUUAAUUUUUUUUUCGUUCAUUCUCAUUCAUAAUCAAUAAUUACGAAUGCUAAGAUUAAUAAAUUAUUCUCGGUCUUUUAUAAUCAAGGAUAUCAAGUGAUGUAAAGUACAUGAGAAGCGUGACCCUCGAGGUUUAGGUGUAAGCUAGUAGUGGGCACACAACACAUUUUGAUGUAAAAUCAUCCCUAGAGUUAUUAUUACGAAUAAGCUAAUUUCAACUUUUUAAAUGAAGUGCUUACAAGAACUGUAUGAUAUAGUUAACAUACAAUACGGUCUUGUCAAUUCAUAUGUCCUGAUUGAACUACAUGCAUUGGUCCACCGAGAGAAAAUUGUUUCUCUAAUCAUCACACAAUCAACUCUGGCCAGAGACUUUGUCGAUUACAAACUUCUAGAACACACAGGACAUCCAUGACUAAUCAAGCGAUCAAAUCGCUUACUACAAUUCACAGAUUUCACACUAGAUUUCAGAAUGCACGAACAUUGGCCCUUAGAGCAUUCUUCAGUGAGGCUCAGGGACAUGUCACGAUGCAGUUGAUCCUCUAGUCAAGCCACGGUGAUGUAUGGGCCUUAAGGAUUAAUGGUGUACAACUAUAUUAUAGAAGCCACUACUCGAUAAUUGGGAACAACUUUGAGAUUUCUAGGAUGAGGGAGUUCAGUGAACUUAUCUAUACGAGCAUCCACUUUUGUAUGUUGAUAUCUCAAUACCGAUUACUGAUGAGACGCAGUACACAUACAUUGAGUAUUGUUACUCUCAGAUGGGAAAGUUCGGUAUCCUCAUUAAUGGUGUAACCCGUUGACUAAGAACUUAUUUAAUAGUUAAGUUACUAUUAUUAAAUUAUCUUAUGAUUCAACUAGAUUGGGGGUCAGUUGAAACAAAUGAAGUAGAAGUACGACUUGUAUUGAGGCUUACGUCGUAAAUGGGCUUAUAUGGAGUUUUUAUUUGACAAGAUGUACCUUUCACUAUCUACGCAGGGGCCAGGAUGUAAAUCCAAUGUGUGGAGAAACUUGGCAAGGAGUUCAUAAAGAUUUUAAUGAUUUGUUUGAUGAGUAGUUUCUAAUCCAUGGUGGUGCGGUCUGAUCAAGUUUCGGUCGAACAGUAAGCAAUGACUAUUCACUUCAGAUUUCGAGUCCAAAUGGUUUAUGUGAUCUUGAUGAUCAGUUUAAGAAGUCCAAUAAAAGAAAAUAUAAAAAAAGAAAGGUACCAUUAGGAUAAGUACUUGAAUGAGUAUUGAAAACAAGGUCGGCUAGACUUUGAUGUCUUGAUGUGGUGGAAAGUUGAAGCUCAUAGGUUUCCAAUUCUUUUCAAAUAUGGCUCGUGACGUUCUAGCAAUUCCAGUCUGUUUUGCUUUAAAGCCUUCAUUUAGCACGAGAGGAGAUACUCUUGAUGCUUUUAGGAGGUCUUUAUCUCCUAGAAUUGCUUAAGCUCUUCUUUAUGCUCAAGAUUGGUUUCGAUCAAAUUGAAAUCCAGUAUAUGUGGAAGAGGACUUAUACGAGCUAGAUAAACUUGAUAAAGGUAAAUUCAUUUUUCUUAUAUUUCUCAUUUAUUUUUCAUCCACACUUUUAAAUGAUAUUAUGGUACUUAUACUUAUGAUUUUGUUUAUUCUUAUAGAGUUGGUAGCACUUGGAGCUGAUUCGUUUGUUCUCGAUUCACAAACUCUUGACUUCAAAUUUUAGUGAUGUAAUUUCAUGUAUGUAAUGAAAUAUAAAUUAAUUAUAUAUUAUUUUUUCUUUCAUUUUUAUAUUUGUAUUAGAAUGGUGAACAUUAAAACCUCAAUAAUUAAUUAUCUAUGUUUGCAGAUUACAGGAUGAUAUAGGCCCAUUGCUAUGUUAGAAGUCAAGCAUUGUACUAUGGUGAUCUUGAAUUUUUUUUUUUGAAUUGAAUUUAAGAGGUUUGGAGUUAUUAGCUUAAUGUUUUGCAAUGCAUUUGCAUUCAUAGAUUUU
RNAcentral lists this long non-coding RNA (5477 nucleotides) under Erythranthe guttata (spotted monkey flower). RNAcentral's name for it is "long non-coding RNA (EGUT_LNC002947)". Lineage: Eukaryota; Viridiplantae; Streptophyta; Magnoliopsida; Lamiales; Phrymaceae. The record is from RNAcentral.